Molecule: long non-coding RNA, 472 nt
Filed under: Mus musculus (house mouse)
Lineage: Eukaryota; Metazoa; Chordata; Mammalia; Rodentia; Muridae
Description: predicted gene, 35430
Source: RNAcentral
UAGCUGCACUGGGGAGGUAGUACUAUCUAUAAGGAUGUGCUUGUUGCUUCCAGCGGUCCACAAAACACUACUGUGUCCACGUUCUCAGAUCAAGAGCCCUCCUUGUCCACAGAGGUCAUAGGAUGCAACCGUGGUUUAGAUAGUCCUUAUCUGAAAAUAGUGCAUCAGACAGUCAGGUCAGUUGUUGCUAUAGCAACCUGUGGGUCUCUGAGGCUCUGGCAUGUGUCCUCUGUCAGUGGAUCUGCACGCAAUCUUGCAGAAGAUGGAGAUACUAAGCGGAGAGGAGUCCAACGUUAUCACCACAGACGUGAAGAUUCAUUACUUUUGCCACUUUCAAAACUCUCUAGCACUGAGGAUUUAAACCCAGAACCUUACUUAGCACAUGCUACAGAAGAGCUCUACCACUGAGCUACACGAUUAAUUCCAGUAACUUCAUCUAUAAAGGAAAUUGGCGCAACAAGAGAAAAUGCAC